RNAcentral lists this transfer RNA (73 nucleotides) under Schistocerca americana (American grasshopper). RNAcentral describes it as "tRNA-Tyr". It matches the Rfam family "tRNA". Rfam says of the family: Transfer RNA (tRNA) molecules are approximately 80 nucleotides in length. Their secondary structure includes four short double-helical elements and three loops (D, anti-codon, and T loops). Lineage: Eukaryota; Metazoa; Arthropoda; Insecta; Orthoptera; Acrididae. The record is from RNAcentral.
CCUCUCGUAGCUCAGUUGGUAGAGCGGUGGACUGUAGAUCCAUAGGUCGCUGGUUCAAAUCCGGCCCAGAGGA